Molecule: ribosomal RNA, 112 nt
Filed under: Providencia sp. wls1950
Lineage: Bacteria; Pseudomonadati; Pseudomonadota; Gammaproteobacteria; Enterobacterales; Morganellaceae
Also listed under: 2 other names
Source: RNAcentral
GCGGCAAUAGCGCGGUGGUCCCACCUGACCCCAUGCCGAACUCAGUAGUGAAACGCCGUAGCGCCGAUGGUAGUGUGGGGUCUCCCCAUGUGAGAGUAGGGAACUGCCAGAC